Molecule: non-coding RNA, 23 nt
Filed under: Arabidopsis thaliana (thale cress)
Lineage: Eukaryota; Viridiplantae; Streptophyta; Magnoliopsida; Brassicales; Brassicaceae
Source: RNAcentral
ACGUACCUCGUGUCCACCGGUGA